GGGGUGUUUUGGCAGCCCAUGUACUAAAAUAGGAACAAUACCAAGAAGAUUAGCAUGGCCCCUGCACAAGGAUGAAAAAGCUUAGGAUGUUGUGAUUGAAAAUAUU
Small nuclear RNA from Cavia aperea (Brazilian guinea pig), 106 nucleotides. NCBI's taxonomy places the organism in Eukaryota, Metazoa, Chordata, Mammalia, Rodentia, Caviidae. The record is from Ensembl.